CAGUCGAGCGAGUCUGCCUUGAGAUCGGAGUGCUUGCACUCUGUGAAACAAGAUACAGGCUAGCGGCGGACGGGUGAGUAACACGUGGGUAACCUGCCCAAGAGAUCGGGAUAACACCUGGAAACAGAUGCUAAUACCGGAUAACAACAGAUGAUGCCUAUCAACUGUUUAAAAGAUGGUUCUGCUAUCGCUCUUGGAUGGACCUGCGGUGCAUUAGCUAGUUGGUAGGGUAACGGCCUACCAAGGCGAUGAUGCAUAGCCGAGUUGAGAGACUGAUCGGCCACAUUGGGACUGAGACACGGCCCAAACUCCUACGGGAGGCAGCAGUAGGGAAUCUUCCACAAUGGACGCAAGUCUGAUGGAGCAACGCCGCGUGAGUGAAGAAGGGUUUCGGCUCGUAAAGCUCUGUUGUUGGUGAAGAAGGACAGGGGUAGUAACUGACCUUUGUUUGACGGUAAUCAAUUAGAAAGUCACGGCUAACUACGUGCCAGCAGCCGCGGUAAUACGUAGGUGGCAAGCGUUGUCCGGAUUUAUUGGGCGUAAAGCGAGUGCAGGCGGCUCGAUAAGUCUGAUGUGAAAGCCUUCGGCUCAACCGGAGAAUUGCAUCAGAAACUGUCGAGCUUGAGUACAGAAGAGGAGAGUGGAACUCCAUGUGUAGCGGUGAAAUGCGUAGAUAUAUGGAAGAACACCGGUGGCGAAGGCGGCUCUCUGGUCNNNNACUGACGC
RNAcentral lists this ribosomal RNA (726 nucleotides) under uncultured bacterium. RNAcentral describes it as "bacterial SSU rRNA". It matches the Rfam family "Bacterial small subunit ribosomal RNA", at positions 59 to 746 of the family's 1533-position model. The record is from RNAcentral.